Molecule: non-coding RNA, 3344 nt
Organism: Equus caballus (horse)
Lineage: Eukaryota; Metazoa; Chordata; Mammalia; Perissodactyla; Equidae
Source: RefSeq, a predicted model, not a curated record
AAAGAUUCUUUGUAAUGUGUUUACACGGGGAGGAGUGAAGGCAGGGGCCUGGCUGUGCUCAAAGCACAUGGGCCCCCAGCCCUGUUUACACAAAGAGAGAAGGAGCCAAGAUAGAUGACCCUGUUGCUCAGGGGCCCAGAUUAAAAACCUAACCCAAGUCCAGAGCCCACGCGCAGGCUCCUCGUUUCUGAGCUACACCACACAGAAGCAGCUCCGAGGCGCCUUUCCCUGGGAGGCCUGCUGACUCUGCCGGGUGAGAGAUGUUUGCACAGGGAGGGAGGUGGCAGCGGCCAUCUGGCUGUUCCCUGGCUCAGCAGGGGAGCAUUUGCAGGUCAGGCACCGGCUGUGUUCCAGGGCCUGUGGGGAGGCAGCCCCUGGACAACAGUCUUUCUGAGAUACUUGUCUCUUCUUUGAGAGUGAAAAUGGACAGUUUGGGAAAAUUCUUGAAACAGUGCUAUUUUUUCCCCUUUAAUUCAUACCCACACCAAAUAAAUCUUCUAGGAUCUUUCCCCUAGUUUUAUUUUGCAGGGUGAGAAGAAACGCAGUUUUCAGCAUUUAAAGAAUCGUGAUGGUUGUUGGCACCUAUAAGGUACUUUGCAGUUCACAAAGCAUCAUCAUAUCCUCCAUUCCACACAAUCCUCAGGACAGCGGGGUAAGUAGUUGUGGCCAAAAUCGCCCCUAGUUUACAGAUGGAGAGUUGACACUUAGAGAAGUCAAGUCACCUGCAGGAAACCACACACCCAGGAAGAGGCAGCAGCCAGGUGACCACACAUUCCAUGCUCUUUCCACUCUGCCCCUGACUCCCCAUUUGGCGGAAAAGCAAGGUGUGCAGAGAGCUUGUUCCAACUUGUAACCCCCUUGCAGGUGGCACCCGGGAGACAGCCUUGUGUCUCAGAGACAUGGUGGAAGCCAAGACAGUGAGCCACAAGGGCACUAUGCUGGGACUAUGGGUCUGCCCUUGGGUAUCACCAAUGGGGCACUCCCUGGGCACCAGACGAAGCCUUAUGUUGACCAACUGUAUGAAAUGGCAUGUAACAUACACACUCUUCUACCACCAGUGGAAUCACAGAGGCUAGGGCAUGUGUUAUAGAAUCAUUGAAGCUUUCCUCCAAGUUCUCUAGUCCCUGCCUCCUCUUGGGCUUGAUCUCCCUGUGUUCAAACCUGCAUAUGUCCACCUGAAGCCAUUACCUGAGUUCCAAUUUCUGUCCUAGCCAGUUCUUCCCAGUUCUUUAUACUGCCUUUUAUAACCCAAAAUACCAAACCCACCCAACAGGUGUCAUUCCCAGCUUUCUCCUCUUUCUCUCUCCGUCUCUGUCCCUUAAGUCCAGCACCACUGCUCGAUUCAAAUGGCUUUGACUUGUAUGAUUGACUGGAACUUCUCAGCUCUGCUUUGGCCGCUCUUAGCCCAGUCCUUCUCUUUUCUUUCUUGCUGCUGUCAAAUCCUGGCUCUCCUCUCUUCUAGCCAAUCUAUCCUUUAGUGACUACCUUUCUAUGACAACGAAUGUGUUACUGGGUUCUGCAGCUUGCAAAGAACUUUUGCACACGUGCAUAUAGAAAUAAAUUCAUACGAAGUCUUAGUUAGAAGCUAGCUCCUCCUCUGUACCAGGUCUCCAUUCAUCUCCUGCCUAAACUACUAAAACUGUCUUUUGUUUGUCUUCACCUUGAAUGCACCUGAAUCCUGCCUGCCAUCUUUUUUUUUAACCAACCUACACUCAGAUCUUUCAUUACCUUCCUGAUAAAAUGCUAUUUAUAAGCUCUCAAGUAUUGUUCCUAUUGUGAAGGCCUCACUUCCCUUCCUCCAAAAAUUCUAAUUAGCUCUCUCCUGUACCCUUCUUUAUUUUCUCUCGACAUUCGGUACCUGUCGUCGAUUGUUAGCAUCAUCAGACUGUGAAUCCUGGAGCCAGAAGCUUUAAGGAUCAUGUGGCCGGUGAAUGAUAGCCACCCUGUGCUGCCUACGAGUGUUUGUACAUCCACAAUAUGCUUCCUUACACUGCCAAGAGACCACAGCUCAGCCCAGGAAAGGGGAGGAGGAGGCAGUCUCCUAGAAGCUGACCACUGUUUCCUCCACUCCGGGCAGAGGGAGGGAGAAGAGCAAAGUGGAGACCACACUCGCCUUCCCACUGCGUUCCCCAGCCACAACCUGGCCAACAGUAAAGGAGAGAACUUUAGAAUCAGAGGGACACAAGACAGAAGACACGCCAGUCCCUUUUACAAGCUCUGAAUAUGGUAUGAGGAGAUGACUGAGGCUGUGGCAGCCAUCUUGGGACCACCAAGGAAACAGCCAAAAGCAUCAGUCAGGUGUGUUAUAAAAUUUUCUCACUUGUCUUUUAAUUUUGUAAGUGUGUUUUUUUCAACUAGUUUUAAAAGGCUUUUAAUUUAAAAAUCUACCAUUUUUUUUUCAUGGUUCCUGUCUCUGGUAUUAUUUGAAUUGGAACUUUGGAUAGUAAGAGAUAGAUAUUGAGCUGAAAUAAGCUGUGGCAAAAGUGAGAAUUUAUUAACUCACAUAACCAGAAAGGACAGGGUGUAACCUAGCAUUGCAGGAGGUAGAGACUAGCCAUCCUCUGUUUGCUUCUCAGCUUGCUUUUCCCUCCUUGGCAGAGCUUUAUUUUCUCAUGAUGGCUGUAUCCAAAAGGCUAGAAUCACCGCCAAUGGCAGUGCCAGGAGACACAUCUUAGUUUCAUGAACAGGGAGGGGGUUCAAAGAAUCUCAAGGUGACUCAGACUGGUAGCCAGAGGAGUUAUUAGCCCUGCUUGGAUGAGGAGCUCACCUCUAGACCAGCCACCGUGGCCAGGAAGACGGAUUCACAUGAGAGGACACCGCUUGCCCAAACCACUUGUCCAUGGCAGCAGGGGGUGGGGAGUGCAAGGGCAGGGCAGGGCAGGGUCCUCGGAAGAGGGGAGCUGCUGGGUGGACGAGUCAAUGGAUGCCUACCUCAGGUGUCAUGCUUAAUAAUCUCCCACUGCCCAAAGGGUACAAAUAGUCACGCCUCCUUUCUUCUAUUACUUAUUUGGUUUUAUAUUUUAUGUUUAAAAUUUUAAUCCAUCUGGAAUUUAUUUUGAUCUAAGUAUAAAGUACACAUCUAAUGUUUCAUGUUUUCCAGAUUGGUAACCAAUAACCCCAAAACACAACCAUGUGAUGGGCUACAGAAAUAAGAGUUGUAGCGUGGAAUACUACUCAGCCAUAAAAAAGACAAAACUGUCCCAUUUGUGACAACAUGGAUGCACCUUCAGGGUAUUGUGCUGAUUGAAAUAAGUCAUGCAGAGAAAGAAGGGCACCAUACGAUUUCAUUCACAUGUAGCACACAAACAAACACAUAGAUAAGGAGAACAGAUUGGUGGUGACCA